RNAcentral lists this transfer RNA (75 nucleotides) under Polyporus arcularius HHB13444. It matches the Rfam family "tRNA". From Rfam's summary of the family: Transfer RNA (tRNA) molecules are approximately 80 nucleotides in length. Lineage: Eukaryota; Fungi; Basidiomycota; Agaricomycetes; Polyporales; Polyporaceae. The record is from Rfam by way of RNAcentral.
GGCACAGUAGCUCAGUGGGUUAGAGCAUCCGAGCAUGUAACCGAGAGGUCUCAGGUUCAAUUCCUGCCUGUGUUG